RNAcentral lists this ribosomal RNA (500 nucleotides) under uncultured bacterium. RNAcentral describes it as "partial 16S ribosomal RNA". It matches the Rfam family "Bacterial small subunit ribosomal RNA", at positions 30 to 523 of the family's 1533-position model. The record is from RNAcentral.
AUUGAACGCUGGCGGCAGGCCUAACACAUGCAAGUCGAGCGGAUGAAGGUAGCUUGCUACCUGAUUCAGCGGCGGACGGGUGAGUAAUGCCUAGGAAUCUGCCUGGCAGUGGGGGACAACGUUUCGAAAGCAACGCCAAUACCGCAUACGUCCUACGGGAGAAAGCAGGGGCACUUCUGGCCUUGCGCUAUCAGAUGAGCCUAGGUCGGAUUAGCUCGUUGGUGGGGUACUGGCUCACCAAGGCGACGAUCCGUAACUGGUCUGAGAGGAUGAUCAGGCACACUGGAACUGAGACACGGUCCAGACUCCUACGGGAGGCAGCAGUGGGGAAUAUUGGACAAUGGGCGAAAGCCUGAUCCAGCCAUGCCGCGUGUGUGAAGAAGGUCUUCGGAUUGUAAAGCACUUUAAGUUGGGAGGAAGGGCAGUAAGUUAAUACCUUGCUGUUUUGACGUUACCGACAGAAUAAGCACCGGCUAACUCUGUGCCAGCCGCCGCAGUAA